This is a long non-coding RNA of Etheostoma cragini (Arkansas darter), 230 nucleotides long. RefSeq lists it as uncharacterized. The transcript is spliced from 2 exons. The record is from RefSeq and is a predicted model, not a curated record. NCBI's taxonomy places the organism in Eukaryota, Metazoa, Chordata, Actinopteri, Perciformes, Percidae.
AUGUCUGCUCUCUAACACACAAUCUGUGCACUGCUCAACAUUGAUACCAUGCAUCCCAACCGCACAACAUAUUUUGGGGCAAUUAAAGACAGGUGUUCCACAAUUAAUUUAAUAUGUCAACAAUUGAAAUGAAUUGAAAAAGCUUCAUACAGCUGUAAUCAUUCGACUGACCCCAGUGGUUUUUGGGUAAAGCAGGUAAGUUAAAUUUCUUUUAACACAACAUAGAUCAC